Molecule: ribosomal RNA, 228 nt
Filed under: uncultured bacterium
Lineage: Bacteria
Description: partial 16S ribosomal RNA
Rfam family: Bacterial small subunit ribosomal RNA
Source: RNAcentral
GUAGUUUGAUCCUGGCUCAGGAUAGAACGCUAGCGACAGGCUUAACACAUGCAAGUCGAGGGGCAGCAAUGAACUUAGCUUGCUAAGUUUGAUGGCGACCGGCGCACGGGGUGAGUAACGCGUAUGCAACUUACCUAUCAGAGGAGAAUAGCUCAGUCGAAAGAUGAAUUAAUGCUCCAUAAAACAGGGGUCCCGCAUGGGAAUAUUUGUUAAAGAUUCAUCGCUGAU